RNAcentral lists this transfer RNA (73 nucleotides) under Ixodes scapularis (black-legged tick). It matches the Rfam family "tRNA". From Rfam's summary of the family: Transfer RNA (tRNA) molecules are approximately 80 nucleotides in length. Their secondary structure includes four short double-helical elements and three loops (D, anti-codon, and T loops). Further hydrogen bonds mediate the characteristic L-shaped molecular structure. tRNAs have two regions of fundamental functional importance: the anti-codon, which is responsible for specific mRNA codon recognition, and the 3' end, to which the tRNAs corresponding amino acid is attached (by aminoacyl-tRNA synthetases). tRNAs cope with the degeneracy of the genetic code in two manners: having more than one tRNA (with a specific anti-codon) for a particular amino acid; and 'wobble' base-pairing, i.e. permitting non-standard base-pairing at the 3rd anti-codon position. The record is from Rfam by way of RNAcentral. Lineage: Eukaryota; Metazoa; Arthropoda; Arachnida; Ixodida; Ixodidae.
CCCUGGUUAGCUCAGUUGGUAGAGCGCUCCACUUGUAAAGGGGAGGUCCCGGGUUCGAUACCCGGACCAGGCG